Molecule: ribosomal RNA, 811 nt
Filed under: uncultured bacterium
Lineage: Bacteria
Description: bacterial SSU rRNA
Rfam family: Bacterial small subunit ribosomal RNA
Source: RNAcentral
GCAGGCUUAACACAUGCAAGUCGAGCGGGCAUAGCAAUAUGUCAGCGGCAGACGGGUGAGUAACGCGUGGGAACAUACCUUUUGGUUCGGAACAACACAGGGAAACUUGUGCUAAUACCGUAUAAGCCCUUACGGGGAAAGAUUUAUCGCCGAAAGAUUGGCCCGCGUCUGAUUAGCUAGUUGGUGAGGUAACGGCUCACCAAGGCGACGAUCAGUAGCUGGUCUGAGAGGAUGAUCAGCCACAUUGGGACUGAGACACGGCCCAAACUCCUACGGGAGGCAGCAGUGGGGAAUAUUGGACAAUGGGCGCAAGCCUGAUCCAGCCAUGCCGCGUGAGUGAUGAAGGCCCUAGGGUUGUAAAGCUCUUUUGUGCGGGAAGAUAAUGACGGUACCGCAAGAAUAAGCCCCGGCUAACUUCGUGCCAGCAGCCGCGGUAAUACGAAGGGGGCUAGCGUUGCUCGGAAUCACUGGGCGUAAAGGGUGCGUAGGCGGGUCUUUAAGUCAGGGGCGAAAUCCUGGAGCUCAACUCCAGAACUGCCUUUGAUACUGAGGAUCUUGAGUUCGGGAGAGGUGAGUGGAACUGCGAGUGUAGAGGUGAAAUUCGUAGAUAUUCGCAAGAACACCAGUGGCGAAGGCGGCUCACUGGCCCGAUACUGACGCUGAGGCACGAAAAGCGUGGGGAGCAAACAGGAUUAGAUACCCUGGUAGUCCACGCCGUAAACGAUGAACGGCAGCCGUUAGUGGGUUUACUCACUAGUGGCGCAGCUAACGCUUUAAGCAUUCCGCCUGGGGAGUACGGUCGCAAGAAUUA